UGGCCAGUCUUUAGGGGCAUCAGCCUGAAGAGACAGGCCCAACCAGCUCUGAAGGGCUUAGCACAGUGAGUGCUUAAUAAUGCCUGUGCACCAACUGUCAGAAAAAGUGUUCCAGAAGACCAAAGGUGAGGAAGUUGAGGCUCAGAAAAGCGAAGUGACUUGCUAAGAUCACACACUGGUAAGUGGCAGGAGAAGAAUUCGAACACAGAUAUUUCUAAUGCCUGUUUCAGCCCUUUCCCCAUUAU
RNAcentral lists this long non-coding RNA (245 nucleotides) under Monodelphis domestica (gray short-tailed opossum). Its description in RNAcentral is "lncRNA (ENSMODG00000048894.1)". The record is from RNAcentral. Lineage: Eukaryota; Metazoa; Chordata; Mammalia; Didelphimorphia; Didelphidae.